GACGAACGCUGGCGGCGUGCUUAACACAUGCAAGUCGAACGGAAAGGCCUCUUUCGGGGGGUACUCGAGUGGCGAACGGGUGAGUAACACGUGAGUAACCUGCCCUUGACUUUGGGAUAACUUCAGGAAACUGGGGCUAAUACCGGAUAGGAGCUCCUGCUGCAUGGUGGGGGUUGGAAAGUUUCGGCGGUUGGGGAUGGACUCGCGGCUUAUCAGCUUGUUGGUGGGGUAGUGGCUUACCAAGGCUUUGACGGGUAGCCGGCCUGAGAGGGUGACCGGCCACAUUGGGACUGAGAUACGGCCCAGACUCCUACGGGAGGCAGAAGUGGGGAAUAUUGAAAAAUGGGUGGAAGCCUGAUGCAGCAACGCCGUGGGCGGGAUGACGGCCUUGGGGUUGUAAACCGCCAUCGCUCAUGACGAAGCUUUGUGUGACGGUAGUGGGUAAAGAAGCACCGGCUAACUACGUG
Molecule: ribosomal RNA, 467 nt
Filed under: uncultured bacterium
Lineage: Bacteria
Description: partial 16S ribosomal RNA
Rfam family: Bacterial small subunit ribosomal RNA
Source: RNAcentral